This 105-nucleotide small nuclear RNA is filed under the name Physeter macrocephalus (sperm whale). Lineage: Eukaryota; Metazoa; Chordata; Mammalia; Artiodactyla; Physeteridae. The record is from RNAcentral.
ACUCAAUUCGGCAGCAUAUAUACUAAAAUUGGAACGAUACAGAGAAGAUUAGCAUGGGCCCUGCACGAGGAUGACACACAAAUUCGUGAAGCGUUCCAUAUUUUU